UUAAGGACAAAAGGGUAAUUCACUUCUCUAUGCUUUUCUUCUACAACGUCUUUCCUCUCCUUGGUACCGAAUAUGGUUAUGAACACAGCGAGUAGAGCAGCCGCAAGGAGGAGGAGGAAGAAGUAAGAGAAGUCAGGUUCCAAGUGAGUAGAGCCAAGAUGCGAGCAAUAAUAACUCAGCUGUUGAAUGGAAACCCGUAACUCAACAACAAUGGUAGGAGAGCGGUGCGAGAAGUGGCGGACAAAAUUUUGGUGAAGUUUAUGAAGAAGCACAACAAGACGUAGAGAGUGGGGGCGACGACGGCUACAGUGGUGGGAGGGAACAACCGUUUGUCUUCCUUUUAGUCUUCAUAUUUCCCUUUUCUUUUUCUUGUUUGCACUAACACUUUCUUUUCACUUCCUUUCUACGAUGCUUCGUGGUCAUAUUUCCAUAAACUUUUAAUUCAUAUUGAAAAUGCUGAUUGUUGGUAUGCGAAGACGACUCAUGGUUCCAUAUAAAUAUUUGUUAUAUAUC
Ipomoea nil (Japanese morning glory) is the source of this 513-nucleotide long non-coding RNA. RefSeq lists it as uncharacterized. The transcript is spliced from 2 exons. The record is from RefSeq and is a predicted model, not a curated record. NCBI's taxonomy places the organism in Eukaryota, Viridiplantae, Streptophyta, Magnoliopsida, Solanales, Convolvulaceae.